RNAcentral lists this ribosomal RNA (460 nucleotides) under uncultured bacterium. Its description in RNAcentral is "partial 16S ribosomal RNA". It matches the Rfam family "Bacterial small subunit ribosomal RNA", at positions 338 to 795 of the family's 1533-position model. The record is from RNAcentral.
CCUACGGGGGGCAGCAGUGAGGAAUAUUGGUCAAUGGACGAGAGUCUGAACCAGCCAAGUAGUGUGAAGGAUGACUGCCCUAUGGGUUGUAAACUUCUUUUAUAUGGGAAUAAAAUGUUCCACGUGUGGGAUUUUGUAUGUACCAUAUGAAUAAGGAUCGGCUAACUCCGUGCCAGCAGCCGCGGUAAUACGGAGGAUCCGAGCGUUAUCCGGAUUUAUUGGGUUUAAAGGGAGCGUAGGUGGAUUGUUAAGUCAGUUGUGAAAGUUUGCGGCUCAACCGUAAAAUUGCAGUUGAAACUGGCAGUCUUGAGUACAGUAGAGGUGGGCGGAAUGCGUGGUGUAGCGGUGAAAUGCUUAGAUAUCACGAAGAACUCCGAUUGCGAAGGCAGUUCACUGGACUGCAACUGACACUGAGGCUCGAAAGUGUGGGUAUCAAACAGGAUUAGAUACCCUGGUAGUC